GGGAAGAAAAGAGACAUCCGGGGUGGGGGCCGGGCCAUGCCUGGCUGUUUGGGCAGACACAGCCUCCCGUAACCGGCCCUCCAUAGAAUUUUGGAAACCCAGUGUGGCCCUCAGGCCAAAAAGUUUGCCCGCCCGUGCACUAAACUACAUUC
Molecule: long non-coding RNA, 152 nt
Organism: Dermochelys coriacea (leatherback sea turtle)
Lineage: Eukaryota; Metazoa; Chordata; Testudines; Dermochelyidae
Exons: 4
Source: RefSeq, a predicted model, not a curated record